Molecule: unclassified non-coding RNA, 644 nt
Filed under: Bombus terrestris (buff-tailed bumblebee)
Lineage: Eukaryota; Metazoa; Arthropoda; Insecta; Hymenoptera; Apidae
Description: misc RNA ENSBTSG00005026026.1
Source: RNAcentral
GGAGGAUUAUUUCUAAACAUAAAAGGAUAAGGAUAAACUUAAAUAACAUUAAUGGUUAUUUGCACACCUUGCAAUUUGGCUAUUAUCCCACACAAGCUAGAGGCUCCUAUAAAAAGAAAUUUGUAUAGGGAUACUUUAAGAACAUACUUAAAAACUUUACCAUUUUAUUCCAAGAUUAUCUAGAUAAAGUUCCUGAAUGGAAAGGGAUCUACGCAUAACAUGUAACAAUCUCUCCAAAGGCUCGUGACUUAGUUUAAGAUGAGAUGCCCUUAAUUUUGUAAACCAAGUAUUAUAUUCCAAGGCAGAAAUGAUUGGCACCAGAUCUUUUUGAUCCAAAUGAUCAAAAUCUCUUAAAUUUAGCUCUCUUGUAUCAUGAGAGAGGUAUAUUGUAUCAACAUCCUAUAAAUAUAAUUGUCUUGAAAAACGUUUAAUAAUAAUAGUAGGACAUUUUCAUAUACUUUAACAAGUUACCCAGGCUACUUCUUCUCUAUAUGGUACACCAUGUAAAUCACACAUACAUGCAUAUUGGGUUGAAAACCCCCCACAAGGUCCAGUAUGUCUUGUUGCUUCUGUACUUCUAGCUAAUUCACUACCUCUUAUACUCUGCAGUCUGCUAGCUGGUAUUACUUCUAUUUUUCUUAUAA